RNAcentral lists this ribosomal RNA (253 nucleotides) under uncultured bacterium. Its description in RNAcentral is "partial 16S ribosomal RNA". It matches the Rfam family "Bacterial small subunit ribosomal RNA", at positions 524 to 776 of the family's 1533-position model. The record is from RNAcentral.
UACGGGGGGGGCAAGCGUUGUUCGGAAUUACUGGGCGUAAAGGGCUCGUAGGUGGCCAACUAAGUCAGACGUGAAAUCCCUCGGCUUAACCGGGGAACUGCGUCUGAUACUGGAUGGCUUGAGUGUGGGAGAGGGAUGCGGAAUUCCAGGUGUAGCGGUGAAAUGCGUAGAUAUCUGGAGGAACACCGGUGGCGAAAGCGGCUUCCUGGUCCAGCACCGACGUUCAGGCACGAAAGCGUGAGGAGCAAACAGG